This 532-nucleotide ribosomal RNA is filed under the name Heteragrion chrysops. RNAcentral describes it as "partial 16S ribosomal RNA". It matches the Rfam family "Bacterial large subunit ribosomal RNA", at positions 1830 to 2619 of the family's 2925-position model. The record is from RNAcentral. Lineage: Eukaryota; Metazoa; Arthropoda; Insecta; Odonata; Megapodagrionidae.
GUCCUCUGUGUUUCUUUUUGAGGUUUGGCCUGCCCAGUGAAGGUUUAAACGGCCGCGGUAUUUUGACCGUGCAAAGGUAGCAUAAUCAUUAGUCUUUUAAUAGGAGGCUGGUAUGAAAGGCUCGACGAGAUGUCAGCUGUCUCACUGUAAUAGAUUAUAAUUUAUUUUUUAAGUUAAAAAUCUUAAGUUUGGUUGGAAGACGAGAAGACCCUAUAGAGCUUUAUUUUUAAAACUUGAUAUUGGUUUUGUUGCUAUUAUUUUUUAUUAGGUUAUUAUUAAUUUUGUUGGGGUGGUGAAAAAUAUUUAUUUAACUUUUUUAUUUAUUAAACAUUUAUUUAUGAAAAUUAGAUCCAUUAUUAUUGAUUAUUAGAAUAAGUUACCUUAGGGAUAACAGCGUAAUCCUUUUUGGGAGUUCAAAUCUACAAAGGGGCUUGCGACCUCGAUGUUGGAUUAAGAUAAUGAUUAGGUGCAGUAGCUUAAUUAAUAGGUCUGUUCGACCUUUAAAUUCUUACAUGAUCUGAGUUCAGACCGG